UCCAAACUCCAAAGACCCGCAAACCGCAACAGCAGUGCUUAAAACCACCAUCACAAUUGAACCACUCUGUUGUUCAAUCUCUUCUUCACAAUCAUCCACAUUUUUCGAAUCGGGUUUCCCAUCAACAAGCGGCUCGAUCAAGUCUUCGAGCCCUUUGUUGUCGCCUUUCUCGAUAUCCCUGUGCUCUGUAAUCGCCAUAAGUUUGAAGCAAACAGAGCAAACAGGGGUUUGUGUGGAAUUGGGGUGGUGGAAGCAGGGGAGAUAUUUAUGGGAAAGGUGAAGAAGAUGAAGACUCCAUGUGAGAUGAAGCUGUAUCUGACGUGGUUUUACGUGUACGCCCGCCUCUCACCAGUUACGCAGAUAGCGGCUUUUGUCACUUGA
This 381-nucleotide long non-coding RNA is filed under the name Helianthus annuus (common sunflower). Its description in RNAcentral is "sRNA HanXRQr2_Chr06g0252441". The record is from RNAcentral. Lineage: Eukaryota; Viridiplantae; Streptophyta; Magnoliopsida; Asterales; Asteraceae.